CCCUUAGAUGUUCGGGGCCGCACGCGCGCUACACUGAAGGAAUCAGCACGUCUUUCUCCUUGUCCGAAAGGACUGGGUAACCCGCUGAACCUCCUUCGCGCUAGGGAUUGGGGCUUGUAAUUCUUCCCCAUGAACGAGGAAUUCCCAGUAAGCGCGAGUCAUAAGCUCGCGUUGAUUACGUCCCUGCCCUUUGUACACACCGCCCGUCGCUACUACCGAUUGGAUGGUUUAGUGAGAUCCUCGGAUUGGUCCCGGCGCGGCCUCUGGUCGUGCCGGAGUGCCGAAAAGAAUGUCGAACUUGAUCAUCUAGAGGAAGUAAAAGUCGUAACA
This 330-nucleotide ribosomal RNA is filed under the name uncultured eukaryote. Its description in RNAcentral is "partial 18S ribosomal RNA". It matches the Rfam family "Eukaryotic small subunit ribosomal RNA", at positions 1470 to 1796 of the family's 1831-position model. The record is from RNAcentral.